Molecule: ribosomal RNA, 345 nt
Filed under: uncultured bacterium
Lineage: Bacteria
Description: bacterial SSU rRNA
Rfam family: Bacterial small subunit ribosomal RNA
Source: RNAcentral
GCUCAGGACGAACGCUGGCGGCGUGCCUAAUACAUGCAAGUCGAGCGGACCGAAGGGAGCUUGCUCCUUUAGGUUAGCGGCGGACGGGUGAGUAACACGUGGGCAACCUGCCCUGCAGACUGGGAUAACUUCGGGAAACCGGAGCUAAUACCGGAUAACACCGAAAACCGCAUGGUUUUCGGUUGAAAGGCGGCUUUUAGCUGUCACUGCAGGAUGGGCCCGCGGCGCAUUAGCUAGUUGGUGAGGUAACGGCUCACCAAGGCGACGAUGCGUAGCCGACCUGAGAGGGUGACCGGCCACACUGGGACUGAGACACGGCCCAGACUCCUACGGGAGGCAGCAGUA